RNAcentral lists this ribosomal RNA (492 nucleotides) under uncultured bacterium. Its description in RNAcentral is "partial 16S ribosomal RNA". It matches the Rfam family "Bacterial small subunit ribosomal RNA", at positions 29 to 507 of the family's 1533-position model. The record is from RNAcentral.
AGUGAACGCUGGCGGUAGGCCUAACACAUGCAAGUCGAACGGCAGCACAGUAAGAGCUUGCUCUUACGGGUGGCGAGUGGCGGACGGGUGAGGAAUACAUCGGAAUCUACUUUUUCGUGGGGGAUAACGUAGGGAAACUUACGCUAAUACCGCAUACGACCUACGGGUGAAAGCAGGGGAUCUUCGGACCUUGCGCGACUGAAUGAGCCGAUGUCGGAUUAGCUAGUUGGCGGGGUAAAGGCCCACCAAGGCGACGAUCCGUAGCUGGUCUGAGAGGAUGAUCAGCCACACUGGAACUGAGACACGGUCCAGACUCCUACGGGAGGCAGCAGUGGGGAAUAUUGGACAAUGGGCGCAAGCCUGAUCCAGCCAUACCGCGUGGGUGAAGAAGGCCUUCGGGUUGUAAAGCCCUUUUGUUGGGAAAGAAAAGCAGCAGGUUAAUACCCCGCUGUUCUGACGGUACCCAAAGAAGAAGCACCGGCUAACUUCGUG